This 258-nucleotide ribosomal RNA is filed under the name uncultured bacterium. Its description in RNAcentral is "partial 16S ribosomal RNA". It matches the Rfam family "Bacterial small subunit ribosomal RNA", at positions 96 to 354 of the family's 1533-position model. The record is from RNAcentral.
UGGCGGACGGGUGAGUAACGCGUGGGCAACCUGCCUUACACAGGGGGACAACAGCUGGAAACGGCUGCUAAUACCGCAUAAGCGCACGGUCUCGCAUGAGACAGUGUGAAAAACUCCGGUGGUGUAAGAUGGGCCCGCGUCUGAUUAGCUGGUUGGUGGGGUAACGGCCUACCAAGGCGACGAUCAGUAGCCGACCUGAGAGGGUGACCGGCCACAUUGGGACUGAGACACGGCCCAAACUCCUACGGAAGGCAGCAG